GCCUGGGUGGCUUGGUCGGUUAAGCGUCUGACUUCGGCUCAGGUCAUGAUCUCACGGUCCGUGAGUUCGAGCCCCGCGUCGGGCU
Non-coding RNA from Felis catus (domestic cat), 85 nucleotides. NCBI's taxonomy places the organism in Eukaryota, Metazoa, Chordata, Mammalia, Carnivora, Felidae. The record is from Rfam.